Molecule: long non-coding RNA, 400 nt
Organism: Ornithorhynchus anatinus (platypus)
Lineage: Eukaryota; Metazoa; Chordata; Mammalia; Monotremata; Ornithorhynchidae
Exons: 2
Source: RefSeq, a predicted model, not a curated record
GGAUUAUUCCAGAGCAGGAUGAAUCUGGAGAGUGAAGGAACCUUCUUUUAAAAGACAAGAAUUCAGCUCAUUAAGAUUUGAACUCAGGAUUUGCUUUGGAAGGCUACUUUGACCACACUACUGAAAAAGAUGCAUGUGACAGAAGAGAACAGAAAAGGUUCUGGCUGCAACUGUGAUGUAGAUGAAGUAGGCCCAUGGACUGACUGCAUUCUUACUUGAUGCAUCCCCAGUAUUCAGCAGGAACAUGACUAAUCUUUCAAGUGCCCCUGAACAAAUCACUACCAUUACAAUCAAUUUCUUUGUACAAGUUCUCAAUCCUGAAGUCUAAGGACCAAGGUUCAUCAUCUGUUCUUGAUAAAAUAACCCAUCAUUUAUUAACAACAUGUUGCUCUCCAGAUUA